GGGCCGGUAGCUCAGUUGGUAGAGCAGGGGACUUUUAAUCCCAAGGUCGUUGGUUCGAUUCCAACCCGGCCCA
Molecule: transfer RNA, 73 nt
Filed under: Actinomycetota bacterium
Lineage: Bacteria; Bacillati; Actinomycetota
Also listed under: 2 other names
Description: Actinobacteria bacterium tRNA-Lys
Rfam family: tRNA
About the family: Transfer RNA (tRNA) molecules are approximately 80 nucleotides in length. Their secondary structure includes four short double-helical elements and three loops (D, anti-codon, and T loops).
Source: RNAcentral